RNAcentral lists this small nuclear RNA (191 nucleotides) under Carlito syrichta (Philippine tarsier). RNAcentral's name for it is "U2 spliceosomal RNA (ENSTSYG00000021730.2)". It matches the Rfam family "U2 spliceosomal RNA". From Rfam's summary of the family: U2 is a small nuclear RNA (snRNA) component of the spliceosome (involved in pre-mRNA splicing). Complementary binding between U2 snRNA (in an area lying towards the 5' end but 3' to hairpin I) and the branchpoint sequence (BPS) of the intron results the bulging out of an unpaired adenosine, on the BPS, which initiates a nucleophilic attack at the intronic 5' splice site, thus starting the first of two transesterification reactions that mediate splicing. The record is from Rfam by way of RNAcentral. Lineage: Eukaryota; Metazoa; Chordata; Mammalia; Primates; Tarsiidae.
GUCACUUCUCCGCCUUUUGGCUAAGAUCAAGCGUGGUAUCUGUUCUUAUCAGUUUAAUAUAUGGUAAGUCCUCUAUCUGAGGACAACAUAUUAAAUGGAUUUUUGGAGCAGGGAGUUGGGAGAGGAGCUUGCUCCAUCCACUCUGGACAUCUACCUGGUAUUGCAGUUCCUCCAGGAAUGGUGUACUCCUG